GACAGAGGGUGCGAACGUUGUUCGGAAUUACUGGGCGUAAAGCGUGUGUAGGCGGCAAGGCAAGUCGGAUGUGAAAUCCCGUGGCUCAACCAUGGACGUGCACUCGAAACUGCCUAGCUAGAGUCCCGGAGAGGAAGGUGGAAUGCUUGGUGUAGAGGUGAAAUUCGUAGAUAUCAAGCAGAACACCUGUGGCGAAGGCGGCCUUCUGGACGGUGACUGACGCUGAGACACGAAAGCGUGGGGAGCAAACAGG
RNAcentral lists this ribosomal RNA (253 nucleotides) under uncultured Phaselicystis sp. RNAcentral's name for it is "partial 16S ribosomal RNA". It matches the Rfam family "Bacterial small subunit ribosomal RNA", at positions 524 to 776 of the family's 1533-position model. Lineage: Bacteria; Pseudomonadati; Myxococcota; Polyangiales; Phaselicystidaceae. The record is from RNAcentral.